This is a non-coding RNA of Myodes glareolus (Bank vole), 1314 nucleotides long. The record is from RefSeq and is a predicted model, not a curated record. Lineage: Eukaryota; Metazoa; Chordata; Mammalia; Rodentia; Cricetidae.
AUGGAGAUGGAGAAGGAGUUCGAACAAAUCCACAAGGCCGGGAACUGGGCAGCCAUUUACCAGGAUAUUUGACAUGCAGCCAGUGACUUCCCAUGCAGAGUGGCGAAACUUCCUAAGAACAAAAACCGGAACAGGUACCGGGAUGUCAGCCCCUUUGAUCAUAGUUGAAUUAAAUUGUACCAGGAAGAUAAUGACUACAUCAACGCCAGUUUGAUAAAAAUGGAGGAAGCCCAGAGGAGCUAUAGUCUCACCCAGGGCCCUUUGCCAAACACAUGUGGGCACUUCUGGGAGAUGGUGUGGGAGCAGAAGAGCAGGGGUGUGGUCAUGCUCAACCACAUCAUGGAGAAAGGCUCGUUAAAAUGUGCCCAGUAUUGGCCACAGAAAGAAGAAAAAGAAAUGGUCUUUGAUGACACAGAUUUGAAAUUGACACUGAUAUCUUAAGAUGUCAAGUCAUUUUACACAGUGCGACAGCUGGAGCUGGAAAACCUGGCUACCCAAAAGGCCCUGGAGAUCCUGCAUUUCCACUAUACCACAUGGCCUGACUUUGGAGUCCCCAAGUCUACUGCCUCCUUCCUCAAUUUCCUUUUCAAAGUCCAAGAGUCAGGCUCCCUCAGCCCGGAGCAUGGCCCCAUCGUGGUGUACUGCAGCGCUGGCACCGGCAGGUCGGGGACCUUCUGUCUGGCUGAUAUCUGCCUCUUGCUGAUGGACAAGAGGAAAGACCCCUCGUCUGUGGAUAUUAAAAAAGCGCUUCCGGAGAUGCGCAGGUUUCGCAUGGGGCUCAUCCAGAUGGCCGACCUGCUGUGCUUCUCCUACCUGGCUGUGAUCGAGGGUGCAAAGUUUAUCAUGGGCGACUCCUCAGUGCAGGAUCAGUGGAAGGAGCUCUCUCAUGAGGACUUGGAGCCCCCACCCGAGCAUGUCCUCCCAACUCCCCGGCCACUCAAAUGCAUCCUAGAUCCUCACAAUGGGAAAUGCAAGGAACUCCUCUCCAACCACCAGUGGAUGAGCAAGGAGACCUGUGAGAACGAAGACAGCCUGGCCAGAGAGGAAGGUAGAGACCCCUUAAGUGCUAUGCAUAGCAUGAGCAGCAUGAGUCAAGACAUUGAAGUUAGAAAACGAAUGGUGGCUGGAGGUCUUCAGGGCACCCAGGCAUCUGUUCCCACCAAGGAAAAGCCGUCCCCAACGGAUGAGGAACAAAAGGCACACUGGCUGACUCACUGGAAGCCCUUCCUGGUCAACGUGUGCAUGGCCACGGCCCUGGCGACUGGUGCGUACCUCUGCUACCGGGUGUGCUUUCACUGACAGACUGCUGUGACG